CGGACGUUUUAGAGUGCAACACAAAGGAGUCACGCUUGCAAGAUUUCAACACUGACGGUUGGUACAGGUUUUUGUGUGUUAGCAGUGGAGUAAACCAUGGAGGUUUACGCCACUUUACACCAUGGAGGUCCUGGGAGGACAGUUUAGCGACAUGACUCCACAGGAGCUGGCGGCUCCUGUCAACACCGUAGCUAGGACUGAUCCUCACUGCAGGCAUCACUGUCUGGUAUGGGAACAACACACAGGUAGAGAGGAAGGCUCUGCAAAGAGUCAUAAAGACUGCAGAGAGAUCAUAGGGACAAAACUUCCUUCCAUGAACUCUGUACACACAAUGCUGCCGAAAAAGAGCAGAGCAAAUUAUCUGGGACUCACCAUCCAGCUCACUCUCUGCUGAGACACAAAAACUAUACAAUGUGAGACACAACAGAGCGGACCGGAACAUUACACACAGAACAAGGUUUUUCAACAGCUUCUUCCCCGCCACUGUCAGACUGAUGGCAAAAUAAAACACUGGACACGUAAAAUAACACACAACACUACCUCACCUCACUUCGAAUGUACAAUGGGAUAAAUCACUGUCUGUUUAAUGUACAAUAUGCUUACUGAAACUGAUUUGAGAAACAGGUGCAAUAUUAGGUAAAAUAUUCUAAAUGUCAAAAUGUGCAAUAUUAUGUGUGAAAUACCCAGAAUGGUAUUUAUAGAGUUUUCAUGUAGUAAAUACUGUUAGUAGAUUGCUCUAUUUUUCGCUUUAUGUCUACUUUUUACUUGCUUUGUUUCCACCUCUCAAAAAUGUAACUUGUAACUUACCCACAGAACUUGUGACCUGUUCAGAAAAUAUAACCCACAGGAUUUGAGAGAAAAGGGACCAGUAAGUGCAAAAUGCAAACUUAUUUCAGGCAUUUCAGGUUUGUUCUUGCAGCACUUUCUAGAAGCACAUAUGUAGCCUAGGGUUGCUUACUGUGCCCAUUCUUAGAUGGGUCUUUAACCACAGUAAAACUACACUCAUACAUGAAGAAUACAAAACUCAAACGUCAUUCAAAACCUAGAAAGGAUACGAUGCAAGGGACAAAAAGUUGAAAGGAGGGACAUAAAGCAAUAAACUCAAAAAUAGUUUUUUGAGUUUUGAUCUUCACCUUCUUGCUGAGUGUUAUAAGAGCACUGCUGCCUCUCAUGUUUGUGCAGGACAUCUGAAGCUACAGCCAGUGUUUGGCUGGCUUAUCAUAGCACAGAGGAGGCCUCUACGUGCUAGUAGUAACCCCCUCAAACCCUCAGCCUGUUGUUUGAUACAAGCUGGUUUUUGUAAAUAAGCUCCCUGCCUUCAUAUUUACAGAUGUGACAAAUUUAAAUCACCCCCCAAAAAUAAACUGGUGUUCAAAAUGACACCUUUUCAUGCAAAUGUAGACUGGAUGCUAACUUUCUGACUGUUUAUUAAACAGAAAUGUUCAUGAUGCUCAAGUAAAUAAAACUGAUUCACAAAACUGUUAAAAAAUAAUAAUUUUGGGGAAAGAGGACUUUUCAGUCUGUUGUCAGCCUGGUUCAGUCUAAGCGUUGUUUUCCAUAAAUUGCAAGCUCAAAAAGUGCUUUGUCUCACUCCCACUUCUUGUCGCAUGUUGAAGCUCAACUUGGAACUUUGUUAAGAUCCAACCAUGCAAAAUAUUAUUUUUUGGUCAUUUUUCAAGUGGUCUUAAACUUUUGACUGGGGCUGUACAUUAAUUCUCUCCCUCUUUCAGUCACAGUCCCUGCAUUUAAAAUCCAACUCGAUAGACCGAUAGACCAGCCUUCAAACUAAGACGCGUGAUGUAUAAAAGUCUUUCUACUGAGUAAAGGACAGUUUGAGUUUCCUGCUGGCACCAUGCACUGUCUUCACAAGUUUCUUCUUUGUUUUCUACCAUGUCUACAAGGCAUCAGUGAGACAUCAAAGACAUACCUGAUUUAUCUUACGGCUGUAAACGGCACACUAACUUUAUCAUCUUCUUUUUUUUUUUAUUUACCAGAGUUUGCAACAGGAAUUAUUCAUGGAACAAAAGCUCCAGAGAACUCGAUACCCUACAUGGGAUCGGUGCAGAAUAACAAGGGUCAACAUGUCUGUGGAGAAUUCCUCAUCACGGUUGUGACCGGUUGUGAGUUAGAUUUCUUGUUCAUGAAGUUCAUCCAAAAACAAGCUUUUUCAAACUUGUGUUUAUUGAUCAAGUCACUCUAAGUUAUUGAUAAGGCAGAUGUUAUUUCGAGGGAAAAUAAAACACAAUUAAGUGCAAUAGCAUCAAAUAAAAAUGACCUUUGACCUCUCACAGCCGUUGGUUACAGCACUGCUGACAUUAACCUGCUUGUAACGAUUGCGUAAUGAGAAAUAAAGACAUCAGUUUAAAAUUGUUGACAUUUUUAAUUCCCUCUCAAUGAUUACUCACACAGUGACCGCACACACUGAUCAUCCCAAAGUAAAGAUUGAGAGAAAAUGAAAUCCAUGAAGAAUACAAAAAGUUUUUACAGAGUUUUUACAUUAAAAUAUGUUACUAUAUGUGUUACUAUUCUAUGGCUGGAUGGGGAAUAACUGAAACUGAUGGCGAACCUGUUGAUGAGCCG
Molecule: long non-coding RNA, 2580 nt
Organism: Oreochromis aureus
Lineage: Eukaryota; Metazoa; Chordata; Actinopteri; Cichliformes; Cichlidae
Source: Ensembl